UUAGUACCUGUUCUUCAAACAGAGCCUCGAUGACACAAGUUACAUUCAAAGAGUGCACCUCGGGGAAAAAGUUCUUACUUCAGUGGUCUAUUUAUUGGAUAAUAAUCCUUCACACACCACAGGUAAAAUACAAAUUACAAAACAAGUUCAUUCAAUUGCCAUAUAUUUCUAUGGAAAACAGUGUUUUGCCUAACAAAGCUUCUACUGUAACAAUCUUAAAUUGGUUAUAACAGAAAAUAUUUUAAUAAUAAUACAUUAGUACCUGCUCUUCAAACAGAGCCUCGAUGACACAAGUUACAUUCAAAGAGUGCACCUCGGGGAAAAAGUUCUUACUUCAGUGAUCUAUUUAUUGGAUAAUAAUCCUUCACACACCACAGGUUUUGAAAAAGUUUGAUAGAGAUUUAUCA
This is a long non-coding RNA of Ctenocephalides felis (cat flea), 407 nucleotides long. RefSeq lists it as uncharacterized. NCBI's taxonomy places the organism in Eukaryota, Metazoa, Arthropoda, Insecta, Siphonaptera, Pulicidae. The transcript is spliced from 3 exons. The record is from RefSeq and is a predicted model, not a curated record.